This 70-nucleotide transfer RNA is filed under the name Epinephelus trimaculatus (threespot grouper). Its description in RNAcentral is "tRNA-Ile". It matches the Rfam family "tRNA". From Rfam's summary of the family: Transfer RNA (tRNA) molecules are approximately 80 nucleotides in length. Lineage: Eukaryota; Metazoa; Chordata; Actinopteri; Perciformes; Serranidae. The record is from RNAcentral.
GGGGCCGUGCCUGAAGUAAAGGGCCACUUUGAUAGAGUGAAUCAUGAGGGUUAAAACCCCUCCAGCUCCU